RNAcentral lists this ribosomal RNA (1045 nucleotides) under Enterococcus faecium. Its description in RNAcentral is "bacterial SSU rRNA". It matches the Rfam family "Bacterial small subunit ribosomal RNA", at positions 181 to 1213 of the family's 1533-position model. Lineage: Bacteria; Bacillati; Bacillota; Bacilli; Lactobacillales; Enterococcaceae. The record is from RNAcentral.
CGAAACCGCAUGGUUUUGAUUUGAAAGGCGCUUUCGGGUGUCGCUGAUGGAUGGACCCGCGGUGCAUUAGCUAGUUGGUGAGGUAACGGCUCACCAAGGCCACGAUGCAUAGCCGACCUGAGAGGGUGAUCGGCCACAUUGGGACUGAGACACGGCCCAAACUCCUACGGGAGGCAGCAGUAGGGAAUCUUCGGCAAUGGACGAAAGUCUGACCGAGCAACGCCGCGUGAGUGAAGAAUGUUUUCGGAUCGUAAAACUCUGUUGUUAGAGAAGAACAAGGAUGAGAGUAACUGUUCAUCCCUUGACGGUAUCUAACCAGAAAGCCACGGCUAACUACGUGCCAGCAGCCGCGGUAAUACGUAGGUGGCAAGCGUUGUCCGGAUUUAUUGGGCGUAAAGCGAGCGCAGGCGGUUUCUUAAGUCUGAUGUGAAAUCCCCCGGCUCAACCGGGGAGGGUCAUUGGAAACUGGGAGACUUGAGUGCAGAAGAGGAGAGUGGAAUUCCAUGUGUAGCGGUGAAAUGCGUAGAUAUAUGGAGGAACACCAGUGGCGAAGGCGGCUCUCUGGUCUGUAACUGACGCUGAGGCUCGAAAGCGUGGGGAGCAAACAGGAUUAGAUACCCUGGUAGUCCACGCCGUAAACGAUGAGUGCUAAGUGUUGGAGGGUUUCCGCCCUUCAGUGCUGCAGCUAACGCAUUAAGCACUCCGCCUGGGGAGUACGACCGCAAGGUUGAAACUCAAAGGAAUUGACGGGGGCCCGCACAAGCGGUGGAGCAUGUGGUUUAAUUCGAAGCAACGCGAAGAACCUUACCAGGUCUUGACAUCCUUUGACCACUCUAGAGAUAGAGCUUCCCCUUCGGGGGCAAAGUGACAGGUGGUGCAUGGUUGUCGUCAGCUCGUGUUGUGAGAUGUUGGGUUAAGUCCCGCAACGAGCGCAACCCUUAUUGUUAGUUGCCAUCAUUCAGUUGGGCACUCUAGCAAGACUGCCGGUGACAAACCGGAGGAAGGUGGGGAUGACGUCAAAUCAUCAUGCCCCUUAUGACCUGGG